GCCAAACCCACAAACAAAUUGUUGUUGAAUACCCAAGAAAGCUCAAAAUCAGAUUCAACACCAAGGAUUUCUUGACUAGCCAAAAAAUAUAUUUAGGUAACCAUGGAAUUCCAAAAAUGCAAAUAAAGGAUUCUUAACCCAUUUCAUAUAUAGAUGAAAGAACUAAGAAUAUUAAUGAUAAUUAAUCUUGCAAGCAAUCAAACUUGACAAGAAAAGUAGUUCUUUGAAGAACCAAAGGGAUCAAAUUCUCCCUUCAGUAGUAUUUGUCCAAAAGUUGCUAAAAGAAGAAGAUAAAGAGCGUUAUAUAGGUGGA
RNAcentral lists this unclassified non-coding RNA (313 nucleotides) under Hevea brasiliensis (rubber tree). The record is from RNAcentral. Lineage: Eukaryota; Viridiplantae; Streptophyta; Magnoliopsida; Malpighiales; Euphorbiaceae.